CCUACGGGAGGCAGCAGUGGGGAAUUUUCCGCAAUGGGCGAAAGCCUGACGGAGCAAUACCGCGUGAGGGAGGAAAGCCUUUGGGUUGUAAACCUCUUUAAUCAGGGAAGAAAAUUUGACGGUACCUGAAAAAAAAGCAUCGGCUAACUCCGUGCCAGCAGCCGCGGUAAUACGGAGGAUGCAAGCGUUAUCCGGAAUAAUUGGGCGUAAAGGGUCCGCAGGUGGCCAUUCAAGUCUGCUGUCAAAGACCGUGGCUCAACCACGGGAAGGCAGUGGAAACUGUUUAGCUAGUAGAGUACGGUAGGGGUAGAGGGAAUUCCCAGUGUAGCGGUGAAAUGCGUAGAUAUUGGGAAGAACACCGGUGGCGAAAGCGCUCUACUGGGCCGAAACUGACACUGAGGGACGAAAGCUAGGGGAGCGAAAGGGAUUAGAUACCCCUGUAGUCCUAGCUGUAAACGAUGGAUACUAGGUGUAGCUUGUAUCGACCCGAGCUGUACCGAAGCUAACGCGUUAAGUAUCCCGCCUGGGGAGUACGCACGCAAGUGUGAAACUCAAAGGAAUUGACGG
Molecule: ribosomal RNA, 567 nt
Filed under: uncultured bacterium
Lineage: Bacteria
Description: bacterial SSU rRNA
Rfam family: Bacterial small subunit ribosomal RNA
Source: RNAcentral